AAACUCUGUCUCAAAAAAAAAAAAAAAUCCAUAGUGGAAAUAAAAUGUCCUUUGAAGAUCUAACUCUUUGAAAGCCAUUGUGCACUCUUACAUGAAUGUCAUUUUACUUUGGCUUAUUUUUGGCUUCUGAGAUCAUUUUCCCAUUUUCCUCUGAGAUAAGACUGAAGAAGCUUAAUUUUUCAUCUUUCAGAAAAUCAACAUAUAUACAUUGACCUACUGUGCUAAGUAACUGAUAAAAUUGUCUAAAUCAAGUAUCCUCACUCCAUCCAUACAGCAUUUUCAGGCCUCUGUGCCAUUCACUAUGACUGACUUGUAUUUCAUGACUCAGUGUGAUGGGAAGGGAGACGUCCUGAAGAAUGAAAUGGAAAUGAAGGCAGAGCGCUUAUUUCAGACACCCCUUCUCCCAAGGAUGUAUUGCUUUGUCCUGAAAUUGGAAUAACCGACUUUGAAGGAAGAAAGGAAUACAGCACAGAAUUUGUUCUGGGCCACAUCCAUUAGCCAAUAGCCAAGGCAACUUCCUUUAACCAACGUGAUCGUCCAUCAACAGGCAGCACUCCAAAAAGCAUCCAAACAUGAUCUAUGUCAAGACCUCUCAACUAAUACAAGCCUCUGCCUGUGGCAUCACGGAGAAGACAUCCUUAUCAAGAUGGCUCUGUUAGUUCAAGAAUUACUAUAUAUGCAUUGAAUUAAAUCUAUUUCUUCAAAAAAAUAAAAUGACCUUUUUUCUCUG
Molecule: non-coding RNA, 730 nt
Organism: Macaca mulatta (Rhesus monkey)
Lineage: Eukaryota; Metazoa; Chordata; Mammalia; Primates; Cercopithecidae
Source: RefSeq, a predicted model, not a curated record